Molecule: ribosomal RNA, 461 nt
Filed under: Paractaea rufopunctata
Lineage: Eukaryota; Metazoa; Arthropoda; Malacostraca; Decapoda; Xanthidae
Description: partial 16S ribosomal RNA
Rfam family: Bacterial large subunit ribosomal RNA (bases 324-461)
Source: RNAcentral
GUGCAAAGGUAGCAUAAUCAUUAGAGGUUUAAUUGGAAUCUGGUAUGAAGGGUUGGACAAAGAAAGAGCUGUCUUUAAGGUAUGAAUUGAAGUUUACUUUUGAGUGAAAAGGCUUAAAUAAAUCAAGGGGACGAUAAGACCCUAUAAAGCUUUAUGAAUAAGUUAGAUUUGGUUAAUUUAUAAAAUAAUAAUUGAGUUUAAUUAUUUUGUUUUGUUGGGGUGAUGUGAGUAUAAAUAAUAAUAACUGCUUAAAAAAUAUACUAUUAUAUGAGAAUAAAAAUAUAUGAUCCUUUUUAAAGAUUAAAAGACUAAGUUACUUUAGGGAUAACAGCGUUAUUUCUUUUGAGAGUUCAUAUCGAAAAAGAAGAUUGCGACCUCGAUGUUGAAUUAAAAUAUCUGUAUAGUGUAGCUGUUAUAGGAGAAGGUCUGUUCGACCUUUAAAUUUUUACAUGAUUUGAGUU